UGGAAGUAAAAAUCGUAACAAGGUCUCCGUUGGUGAACCAGCGGAGGGAUCAUUGCUGGAACGCGCCCUAGGCGCACCCAGAAACCCUUUGUGAACUUAUACCUUACUGUUGCCUCGGCGCAUGCUGGCCCCCUCGGGGCCCCCUGGAGACAGGGAGCAGGCACGCCGGCGGCCAAGUUAACUCUUGUUUUUACACUGAAACUCUGAGAAAAAACACAAAUGAAUCAAAACUUUCAACAACGGAUCUCUUGGUUCUGGCAUCGAUGAAGAACGCAGCGAAAUGCGAUAAGUAAUGUGAAUUGCAGAAUUCAGUGAAUCAUCGAAUCUUUGAACGCACAUUGCGCCCUCUGGUAUUCCGGAGGGCAUGCCUGUUCGAGCGUCAUUUCAACCCUCAAGCAUUGCUUGGUGUUGGGGCACUGCUUUUAACGAAGCAGGCCCUGAAAUCUAGUGGCGAGCUCGCCAGGACCCCGAGCGCAGUAGUUAAACCCUCGCUUUGGAAGGCCCUGGCGGUGCCCUGCCGUUAAACCCCCAACUUCUGAAAAUU
This 544-nucleotide ribosomal RNA is filed under the name fungal sp. GZ-2010d. RNAcentral's name for it is "eukaryotic LSU rRNA". The stretch from base 229 to 382 matches the Rfam family "5.8S ribosomal RNA". Lineage: Eukaryota; Fungi. The record is from RNAcentral.